UACAGAGGUGGCAAGCGUUGUUCGGAAUUACUGGGCGUAAAGGGCGCGUAGGCGGCCUUCUAAGUCAGACGUGAAAUCCCCCGGCUUAACCUGGGAACUGCGUCUGAUACUGGAAGGCUUGAGUGCGGGAGAGGGAUGUGGAAUUCCAGGUGUAGCGGUGAAAUGCGUAGAUAUCAGGAGGAACACCGGUGGCGAAGGCGGAUCUCUGGGCCUUGCCUGACGCUGAGGCGCGAAAGCUAGGGGAGCGAACAGG
RNAcentral lists this ribosomal RNA (253 nucleotides) under uncultured bacterium. Its description in RNAcentral is "partial 16S ribosomal RNA". It matches the Rfam family "Bacterial small subunit ribosomal RNA", at positions 524 to 776 of the family's 1533-position model. The record is from RNAcentral.